GGUGUAACACGGCUACGGUUUAACCGUAAAGGUUCAAAGUCCUUGUAAACUGUGGAUGACACC
The submitters of this non-coding RNA (63 nucleotides) gave its source as unclassified sequences. The record is from Rfam.